This 586-nucleotide ribosomal RNA is filed under the name Melampsora sp. TNS F-23007. Its description in RNAcentral is "eukaryotic LSU rRNA". It matches the Rfam family "Eukaryotic large subunit ribosomal RNA", at positions 86 to 655 of the family's 3401-position model. The record is from RNAcentral. Lineage: Eukaryota; Fungi; Basidiomycota; Pucciniomycetes; Pucciniales; Melampsoraceae.
ACGGCGAGUGAACAGGGAAAAGCCCAAAUUUGUAAUCUGGCACUUUUUACAAGUGUCCGAGUUGUAAUUUGUAGAGCUGUUAUCCGUACUGGACCAUGUACAAGUCUGUUGAAAAGCAGCAUCAUUGAAGGUGAAAAUCCUGUAGAUGAUAUGGACUACCAGUAUAUUUGUGAUACGGUUUCUAAGAGUCGAGUUGUUUGGGAAUGCAGCUCAAAGUGGGUGGUAAAUUCCAUCUAAGGCUAAAUAUAAGUGAGAGACCGAUAGCAAACAAGUACCGUGAGGGAAAGAUGAAAAGAACUUUGAAAAUAGAGUUAACAGUACGUGAAAUUGCUGAAAGGGAAACGUUUGAAGUUAGUUUUGUAUUCGUUGGAUCAGCUUCGCAAGGAGUGUAUUCUGAUGAUAAGCAAGUCAACAUCAGUCUAUGAGUGUUGGAUAAGGGUUUUGAGAAUGUAGCAAUUUAAUUGUGUUAUAGCUUGAGACUUGGAUACGAUGCUUUGGAUUGAGGAACGCGUAGUAAGCUUUGAGCGGAUUCGAAAGGAUCUCCUUACUAUGGAUGUUGGUGAAAUAACUUUAAGCGACCCGUCUU